GGACAUUUUACACUGCCGAUUUGAGGUAUCAAUCUUUUCUAUUUUUUUUUUUCUGUACUUCCAUUGUUGCAGAUGUGUAGAGCACUCCCAUUUAGUAUUACUGGCUAACCAAUAGCUGCUCGUCAUGUGUACUUGCUGCCUCCUGGUAUUUAAAUGCAUUUUCCAGUUUCAACCGGCUUCUGCCACUACUGUAGUAGUUGAAGCCGUUGUCGUGGCGGAAGUCACAGCCUUCCUUCUCCUCUUCGGUGAACCACUCUCCAAUCCCGAUGAUGUCGAGGAUGAUGGCUCCGGCGAUGACCUCUUCGAAGUCACUCUC
RNAcentral lists this unclassified non-coding RNA (316 nucleotides) under Hevea brasiliensis (rubber tree). The record is from RNAcentral. Lineage: Eukaryota; Viridiplantae; Streptophyta; Magnoliopsida; Malpighiales; Euphorbiaceae.